GAGAAUAUAGCUCAGUGGUAGAGCAUGUGCUUCCCAUGCACAAUGUCCUGGGUUCAAUCCCUGGUGCCUCCA
This 72-nucleotide transfer RNA is filed under the name Camelus ferus (Wild Bactrian camel). It matches the Rfam family "tRNA". From Rfam's summary of the family: Transfer RNA (tRNA) molecules are approximately 80 nucleotides in length. Their secondary structure includes four short double-helical elements and three loops (D, anti-codon, and T loops). Lineage: Eukaryota; Metazoa; Chordata; Mammalia; Artiodactyla; Camelidae. The record is from Rfam by way of RNAcentral.